This 1396-nucleotide long non-coding RNA is filed under the name Homo sapiens (human). RNAcentral describes it as "LHRI_LNC2103.7". Lineage: Eukaryota; Metazoa; Chordata; Mammalia; Primates; Hominidae. The record is from RNAcentral.
CAAUUCCCAGGUUGGAAAAACUUAAGCUAAUGCUAGCUCAAGAGACUCUGCAACUCAUGAGAGCGAAAGAAUUGUAUUUAAAUCGCAAAAGAGCUGAAAUUCAGGGAAAGAAAAACAGGAUGAAGUUGUCUAUUACGAUCCAUGUGAAAGUCCAGAGGAACUUAGUCAUUGACUGUGGUGGGGCUGCAGGACGAUAAGAAUUCGGAAGUGAAAGAACUCAGAAGGCAGUGCCAGCAGCUGGAGUCUGUUAAACGGAGCAGUCUGUGUCAAAAGAGCUUCUCUCCAGAGUAGAAAGAGACGGGGUUUUGCCAUGUUGGCUAGGCUGGUCUUGAACUCCCGACCUCAAGUGAUCCGCCCACCUUGGCCUCCCAAAGUCCUGGGAUUACAGGUGUGAGCCACUGCCCCUGGACCACAGACGGAGUCUCACUCUGUAGCCCAGGCUGGAGUGCGAUGGCGCGAUCUUGGCUCACCACAAGCUCCCCCUCCCGGGUUCACGCCAUUCUCCUGCCUCUGCCUCGUGAGUAGCUGGAACUACUGGCGCCUGCCACCACAUCCAGCUAAUUUUUUUGUAUUUUUAGUGCAGACUGGGUUUCACCGUGUUAGCCAGGAUGGUCUGGAUCUCCUGACCUUGGGAUCCGCCCGCCUCGGCCUCCGAAAGUGCUGAGAUUACCGGCGUGAGCCACUGUGCCCGGCCGAGACUUUUAAUUAUGCAAUGCCAGACUGCAUUGCAUAAACCAAAGGCCAACAGAGAGGUGACCUUUCAAAUUACUGGCACAAGAAGAGCUGAGAUCAGAAAGCUCCAACUUAAUGCAAACAUCGACAAGAAAUCCGACAGAAAUGACUUCUGUGUCUGGUCAACUUAACAUAACAUGACAUAUUGUCAAGCGCAUUUGGCUUUUUAGGUAGAAUUGUCUAUAAAGGUUUAACUGCUUUAGAAAAUAUAAAUGUGAAGAUUUGUGGUAUUUGGGUUUAUAUAUAAGAUAUUUCUACAUUGAAAAGAGACUGGAAAAGCUUGGUAUAAGAUUUGUAAAAUAUGUUUGUAAUAAUGCUAAUGGAAGAGGUGAGAUUUGGGUGGGGUGGGGUGUAGAUGGGAACAUGGUUUGGGGAUUGGGGAAAGGGAAGUCAUGCUGUUAAUAAAAUAGUGAGGCAUGUUGUAUAAAGUGUGUUUUAUGUCUCAAUUGAAAUGUUAUAGAGAUAAAUUUAAAAUAGAUCAUGAUGGGUUUUGAAUCUGAUUUCUAAUUUUAAAAUGUUAUGAGCUUUUGUUGCUUUCCUAUUUCAUACACAUUUCUUUAUGGGUUUCACUUAGACUGCAUGAAAUUGCAGAUGCCAAUUACCUUUUAACAAAAUUAAAUUCACAUAUAUGUAUAAUUUGCAUGUAUAUAUCCAUGGAAUUUUU